Molecule: long non-coding RNA, 245 nt
Filed under: Setaria italica (foxtail millet)
Lineage: Eukaryota; Viridiplantae; Streptophyta; Magnoliopsida; Poales; Poaceae
Description: long non-coding RNA (SITA_LNC003372)
Source: RNAcentral
UUACCUAGCUAGGAAUCGUCAAUUUCGGCUUUUCUUGCACUUCGUCAUUUAAUCUAUUUAUUUUACGCAUAGCCGAUUAGAUCUGUUCCUAGUGUUGCUACUGUAGCGUUGUUUAGAUUACUUCAGUGGUUUUCUUAAUCAACGUUGCCUUGUAAUCGGUCGCAUUGUAGCCGAUUUCCACAUUACAGCAAAUCGGCCGAAUCGCUGAUAAGCUUUCUCGAGAUCGGAACCUUAGCCGAUCGCAA